AAGCAGGAUGUGAANUCCCCGGGCUCAACCUGGGAACUGCGUUNUGAACUGGGUGACUAGAGUGUGUCAGAGGGAGGUAGAAUUCCACGUGUAGCAGUGAAAUGCGUAGAGAUGUGGAGGAAUACCGAUGGCGAAGGCAGCCUCCUGGGAUAACACUGACGUUCAUGCCCGAAAGCGUGGGUAGCAAACAGGAUUAGAUACCCUGGUAGUCCACGCCCUAAACGAUGUCGAUUAGCUGUUGGGCAGCAUGACUGCUUAGUAGCGAAGCUAACGCGUGAAAUCGACCGCCUGGGGAGUACGGUCGCAAGAUUAAAACUCAAAGGAAUUGACGGGGACCCGCACAAGCGGUGGAUGAUGUGGAUUAAUUCGAUGCAACGCGAAGAACCUUACCUGGUCUUGACAUGUACGGAACCCUUCAGAGACGGAGGGGUGCCUUCGGGAGCCGUAACACAGGUGCUGCAUGGCUGUCGUCAGCUCGUGUCGUGAGAUGUUGGGUUAAGUCCCGCAACGAGCGCAACCCUUGUCAUUAGUUGCCAUCAUUAAGUUGGGCACUCUAAUGAGACUGCCGGUGACAAGCCGGAGGAAGGUGGGGAUGACGUCAAGUCCUCAUGGCCCUUAUGACCAGGGCUUCACACGUCAUACAAUGGUCGGUACAGAGGGUAGCCAAGCCGCGAGGCGGAGCCAAUCUCACAAAACCGAUCGUAGUCCGGAUUGCACUCUGCAACUCGAGUGCAUGAAGUCGGAAUCGCUAGUAAUCGCAGGUCAGCAUACUGCGGUGAAUACGUUCCCGGGUCUUGUACACACCGCCCGUCACACCAUGGGAGUGGGGGAUACCAGAAGUAGGUAGGGUAACCGCAAGGAG
Molecule: ribosomal RNA, 862 nt
Filed under: uncultured bacterium
Lineage: Bacteria
Description: bacterial SSU rRNA
Rfam family: Bacterial small subunit ribosomal RNA
Source: RNAcentral